AGGUACAGAGGGAGUGCUACCGGGCGACUGGAUGCGGAUCUCGAAAGCCUGUCCCAGUUCGGACUGGAGUCUGCAACCCGACUCCACGAAGUUGGAUUCGCUAGUAAUCGCGCAUCAGCCAUGGCGCGGUGAAUACGUUCCCGGGCCUUGUACACACCGCCCGUCAAGCCAUGGAAGCCGGGGGUGCCUGAAGUGUGCAGCCGCAAGGAGCGCCCUAAGGUAAAACCGGUGACUGGGGCUAAGUCGUAACAAGGUACC
This 258-nucleotide ribosomal RNA is filed under the name uncultured bacterium. RNAcentral's name for it is "partial 16S ribosomal RNA". It matches the Rfam family "Bacterial small subunit ribosomal RNA", at positions 1235 to 1500 of the family's 1533-position model. The record is from RNAcentral.